ACUUCCCAUUCAUCAAAAUACUGUGGGUUGCGGGUGUUAGAGUUUUUCCAAAACUAAAUUAGACAUUCUAAGGAGGGGGUUCAAUUAAUUCUUUCAAAGAGUUGUCAGAUUAUUCUUUUCUGAGAUCAUUAGUUGUUCAGCUUAUUCAGACAACUCCAUCUGUACUGCUAGUUCAUACUGGCCGCGUUCAAUGCCCAUUGUCGUGAAACAAACUAAAAAGCAUAAAUGCGUGGUGGAUAGCUACAUCACUGGGACACCUACACCGCCAGACCAUUGCUUUUCAAUGCCUACCAGACUUUCACAAUUCGUCCACGCCAAACCCACACGGACUGGACACUUGAGGACCAGAUAUUUUUGACAGACGUAACCCUUUUGCGAGUUAAAGUCAACAAAUAUCAGUGAAAGUUUAGGCACGGAGGAUUAAAGUCAAAGUCAAAUGACAUGUCGGUUGCUGACUCGGCUCAUCAGUUCCUUACAUGACAAGAAUUAGAGCUUCUCCAAUGGUUAUGUGGUCAGUUUCAUAUGUGGCAUUUGUGAGAAGACAUCCUUUGUCUUAUUUGGCAACCAAUUUUUUGGAAACAAAAAUAAAUCUUACCAAUUGCGUUUUUAUCUAUUUAUUUUGCUUAGUUGUCUCUUAUUUUUAAACGGAAUAAAAGAUUUUUUUUGAUA
Papaver somniferum (opium poppy) is the source of this 669-nucleotide long non-coding RNA. RefSeq lists it as uncharacterized. Lineage: Eukaryota; Viridiplantae; Streptophyta; Magnoliopsida; Ranunculales; Papaveraceae. The transcript has 2 exons. The record is from RefSeq and is a predicted model, not a curated record.